CAGUAACAAGAAUAUACAUCCCCUGAGUUCUUCUCCCUACGAACAUCACUCUCCCAUUCAAAAGAAAACACGGUCGACGUACAUCUAAACAACUCCUCCGCGCCAGAGCUCAUCAUCGGCGGUGGCGGAGCUUCCACUCGCCUUACACUCACUCGACCUAACCAAAUUGAAACAAGUCUCAACCUAAUACAUCCAAGCUACGAUGACACGACUCUUACCGACGACAGAAGAGAAAGAUCAGAAGCUUUGGUACUAAUUGCAUAAUCCAACGAUUCUUCAGUCUCUUUUUGCUUCUGUUAUGGUCCGCCUACACGGCUACACUUCAUUGAGAUUAGUUAUGGUGUGAUCGUGCUUCGGUUCGUGAAACUUGGAACGGUAUGGUGGCGAAAGAAGAUCGGCCGGCGGCAAGGGAGGAUGACGGUUGGACGGUUUUGUGAGAAACGGUUAUGGCAGAUUGAAGGGGAAAUCGACGACAGAUGAAAAAGAAGAAUUAUCAAAAGAAAAAAAAUGCUCAUGGCUUGUUGUUGUACGUUUGGCUCAAGUCGCAGCUUGGUGGCUCGCAUUUCAAUGUGUUGGCUGCCGUUUCUAUCUUUUGCCGCGUUUCAAGUUGUUAUGUGCGUUGUAGCAACUGAGGUUUUGUGCGUGGUAAACAUUCACGUUGCCGUUUCAUUUUGGCUGGUGUGCGUCUUCGUUUGGAAGCUUCAUGUUACAACUUCUGGAUGCAGCUGCAUUUUGCGCAUGAGCCCCGUUCAAAUUGCAGCUUUUGGCGUUGUUGUUUAGCUAGUGAACAUGAGUUGCGUUCUGCUUUGCGUUUGGUUUCGCAGCUUUUUGGCUCUUGUAGCUGCUACUCACGUUUGAUUGCAGCAGGAAGUGUUUGGAAUUGUUAGCUGCAGUCCGGCUUAGCAGCUUGUGUAGCAUCUUAAAGCUACAACUCUUUUUUGGUUUGUAGCUUUAGCAGCUUUCAUUUCAUUUUCUGUUUUUGUUUUGGCGCUCUUAGUACAUAGCAGCUUUUAAAAGUAGCCUUAUGCUACUUGCGCUUUGGCUUAGAGAUUUUUCCUGCAUUUCAUGUCGUUUCCGUUUGUGAUGUUGUAUCUGCAUUAUUCAAUGAAAUUAUUGAAUGAAGAUGAUAUGCAAAUGUCAGGGGUUAAUGACCUA
Molecule: long non-coding RNA, 1155 nt
Organism: Lathyrus oleraceus (garden pea)
Lineage: Eukaryota; Viridiplantae; Streptophyta; Magnoliopsida; Fabales; Fabaceae
Exons: 3
Source: RefSeq, a predicted model, not a curated record